Molecule: ribosomal RNA, 212 nt
Filed under: uncultured bacterium
Lineage: Bacteria
Description: partial 16S ribosomal RNA
Rfam family: Bacterial small subunit ribosomal RNA
Source: RNAcentral
GGAAAUUGCCUUGAAGUGGGGGAUAGCCCGGAGAAAUCCGGAUUAAUACCGCAUAUGCUCUACGGAGCAAAGUGGGCCUCUGAUUUAAGCUCAUGCUUUGAGAUAUGCCUAUGUCGGAUUAGCUAGUUGGUGGGGUAAAAGCCUACCAAGGCGACGAUCCGUAGCUGGUUUGAGAGGAUGAUCAGCCACACUGGGACUGAGACACGGCCCAG